GACGAACGCUGGCGGCGUGCUUAACACAUGCAAGUCGAACGGUAAGGCCCUUCGGGGUACACGAGUGGCGAACGGGUGAGUAACACGUGGGUGAUCUGCCCUGCACUUUGGGAUAAGCCUGGGAAACUGGGUCUAAUACCGAAUACACCCUGCUGGCUGCAUGGCCUGGUGGGGGAAAGCUUUUGCGGUGUGGGAUGGGCCCGCGGCCGAUCAGCUUGUUGGUGGGGUGAUGGCCUACCAAGGCGACGACGGGUAGCCGGCCUGAGAGGGUGACCGGCCACACUGGGACUGAGAUACGGCCCAGACUCCUACGGGAGGCAGCAGUGGGGAAUAUUGCACAAUGGGCGCAAGCCUGAUGCAGCGACGCCGCGUGGGGGAUGACGGCCUUCGGGUUGUAAACCUCUUUCAGUAGGGACGAAGCGCAAGUGACGGUACCUACAGAAGAAGGACCGGCCAACUACGUGCCAGCCGCCGCCGUAA
RNAcentral lists this ribosomal RNA (480 nucleotides) under uncultured bacterium. Its description in RNAcentral is "partial 16S ribosomal RNA". It matches the Rfam family "Bacterial small subunit ribosomal RNA", at positions 28 to 523 of the family's 1533-position model. The record is from RNAcentral.